UAGGAUUAUUGUGUGGAUCUGUGCUGAUU
RNAcentral lists this non-coding RNA (29 nucleotides) under Rattus norvegicus (Norway rat). The record is from RNAcentral. Lineage: Eukaryota; Metazoa; Chordata; Mammalia; Rodentia; Muridae.